GCCUCGGCGCUGCGGCCCCGGGGAAGCGAGGCCAGGCCGCCUUCCCCCAGCAGCCCUGACAGCAGGCUCUGUCACUGGCGCACACCUCUUGCUGCGGCAGCCGAACGCCGGAGCCCGGCCGGGUGUGCCGCGCCGACCGGGCCUCCCGCCUUCAAAGGGGAGGGAGUCGCGCCUGCAGGCCUGCCGUCCGCCCCAGGCCCCUGCUCGCUGGGCCCCCCCUCCGCCCCAGGCUUCUGCUCGCCUGCCUUCCGCCCCAGGCCCCUGCUCGCUGGGCCCACCCUCCGCCCCAGGCUCCUGCUUGCCUGCCCUCCGUCCCAGGCCCCAGGCCCCUGCUCGCCCAGAGAACUGGGCCUGCCCUCCGCCCCAGGCCCCUGCUCGCCCAGGGAACUGGGCCUGCCCUGGCAGCAGGCUUCACCAUGCCACAAGCCCUGUCAGGGUUUGAGGUGAGGAAGGACACUGAGAUUGACCUGAUCUCCUGUUGUGCCUCCCCAAGUAACUGUGAGCUUUGGCCCCGAUGGAUCUGCUCAGUCUUGUCACAGGAGCUACAUGAAGGUCCGCAUCUUAAUCAUCGUUACAAAGCUGCCACAGAGAUCACUGUAAAAAGGGCCAAAACAAGAGGAAAAAGAGGUGAAGCAAUGGUGCUUUCAUUGAUAUCAGUGACUGGGUCUUAUCCAGGGACCUGUGAGCUCUCUGCUUAGCUCUGCUGCUGAGGCAUGCAUACAUCACUGGGAAGUGAUUUCAAGUGAGCUUUCAUCCUUAGCUGAGGAGGUGAAGCUGGAACCACUCCUUUGGCACAGAAAAACAUCACAACAGCUGUCUGCCAGGAGACGAGAUAAACAUUCUGGGGGAGAGCAGCUACUCCGAUGCACGUGGACUUCAUCAAACAGUCUGGGCUGUCCCUAUUGUUUGUGAGCACUGGAUGAGAACAAAGACAGAUUGGGCUAGAAAGGGCCCCACACAGAGAUAUUCAGAGCACAUACAGAAUAGGACACUAACGGCUACACUGGUUCACCAUUUUUUGAUAUAAUCAAAGGAGUCUACUAGCUUGGAAAUAUUACAUAUACACACCUGAGGCCCAAGGGAAUUACUGUGACUGUUUCUUUUUGUGAUUGCACUUACCAAGAGAGGGAACUGGGGAUUACAAUUGUCACUUCACAGACAGGAGUGCAAGGGGAAAAAAAAAUAAUCUUUGUAGCAUUAUCAGUCUUUUUCAUUCGCUGUUCCUAGAGCUCUGGGUGGGGUUUCCCAGCUUGUUUCCUUGAAGGUUUUGGUGCUGAUUCAAUAUUGCUAUCAGUCUUUUAACUGUACCACCCCCUGCUCAGGAGGCAGGAUUUUGUGUGCCAGAGGUAAGCCUAUUUAAAGGGAAAGAGUCAGUCCCACUCUAGACUUACUACUCUCUUUUGUACAUAGAUACAUACCCAAAGACAUUUAUCAAAGAUGCUCAAUUCAGAGGGAGCAGAGAGCAAAAGGCAAGCAAAGCCUGGGGGAAGAAACAAGUGGCACGCACACAUAAAAGGGAGAGACCAGACGUGCAAGGGAACAGGGCGUGGAAGCCUACCCAAGAAAUACCUUCAUCCAUACCACUGAAAAGGGGGGCAGCGGGGCAAGGCUUGUUUUGUGAUCUUGACAACCUAAUAAUACUUGGUUGUAGUCAAAAACUCCUGUAAAGGCAAGGUGCAUGUAAAACCAGGAGGAGAGCUCAGCAGGUGUGUGUCCAUGUUUAAAACCAGUCAUCAGGAUAAAGAAGCCUUGAGAAGGCAGCCUUCAAACCCAGUUUUCUGUCCAGCAGCCUGGCACAUGGGUGGCACCCCCUUCCUUAAGGCACAGUGUGUUUCAACAAGUGAAACUUGUGAGAGAAGCCCACAUCUGAUGAAACAGAAAAUGCCAAGCACCCUUUCUGCAAACGCUUUAGAGGUCUGCGAGAAGGCUGUCAACUCUGAGAUAAGCUGUACAGCUGAGUAAACAAUUAUGUAUUUGCCUUGGGGACAAACUAGGAGAGAUGAUACAUUGUUUAUUCCAGGGCAUUACUGACACCACCACAGAUGUGAGAAAGCAUUUCUUUCCUUCUUGGGUACAGCAGUAACAAAAAGCUGGAUGCUAUUUGCAGUUCUUACCUUGUAAUGUGAAGUGAUGAGACUGUACUUACACAGUAUCAUGCGCGUAAAGAUUUUAAAGUACUUUGCUGAGCUAAGUAGUGUAAUCCUUGCUGCAUAGAUACUAAUUAGGAGUACAGGAGAGGCAAAACAAACUAGCUGGAGCACCUUGCCCUGUGCAAAGUCUUGAAUUGUUGUGCUGUUCAGGCUCCAGUUUGACUGAGAGCCCAAGGGAGGGGUGCUUGAGGGCUUUCAUGUGGUCACUUGCUGAUCCGACAAAUAAUAUAAUUAUUCAGCACAUGUGAUUGGCCUUACACAGGACAGGCUGCCAGUUAGGCUAGCAAGGAACUUGCUGAUAAAGGUAGCCCGAGUCAUUCAUAAGCCAGUGAAAUGGGUGGAAGCAAGAAGAGUAAGGAGCUACAGUGUUAAACUCAGGUGCGCCCACAAAACUGUAGAACAGCAUGCAUGUAAGCAACCCACAACAUGCCUGAUUCAGUUUUAUUAUUUCACUGGGACUACACAUACAGAUUGCUCACAUUUGGCAGAGAUGAGCAAGCUUUCUUCCUAGACUUGCAGGACAUGAUGCAAGGGGGAGUUGGCCUUCACAGAUGAUUAUGCAUCAACAAGCACAUCACAGGCAGACAACAGGGCAUCAACGGUACCUCAGCAGGGAGCUGAGCUACAGCAGUGGCAACUUGGUAUGGGACCUGUACACCCUACAGAGCGUGGGGCUGAAGGCACAGCAGGCUAGGUUCUGAAAGAGGAGGGCUUUAACGGAAGAGUUGGACACUCUUUCUGAGGGGGCACAAAGCAGGAACAAAGCAAACAAAACCCAGUAAUUUGCCAAUAAAGCAUGGAAGAGUAUUCCAUCAUUACUGCUGUUGCAUCAUUAUUAGUCAAGCUUCUAGGCAUCUGUUAAUGUGACAGCUAAUUAUUAUUAUUAUUACAGUGUUUAGACAGAUUUUUAAAAGGCAUCAUGUAGGUGCCUCACUCCCAUUCAUUUCAGAGCAACUUAGGCAACAGGGACUUAGCUCAUAGUCCAGCCUCAGCCUGGAAUGUGGGAGGCUAGAUGAAGCAAUCAUCCCUUCGUGAAUAUCUAACCAGCAAAAAGCAAACAUACUUUUACAGGUGCCCUGUUAAAAUCUAGACUGGUUUGAAAAGACUCAUUAGACUGAACUAACCAAUCUAAUGCUAUAUCUUAGCCCUUGAAAACCACACCGUGAAAACCAGUCUCAACCUUAUGCUAAGCUGUGAACAGGAAUGACCAUAGUAUACCUGAAAAGGUGUGUUGUGCUUCUUCCUGUUGUGUUCAGAUACAUUAAUCAUAUAGCGACAAAGAGAAGGUAGCAGUAAGAAGAAGAUACCAGCACGGCCAGAUGAGGGUUAAAUAGGCAACAUUAAUGAAGAAAUACUGCUGUAAGGUCUGCAAACCUGGGAAAGCAUCAGCAGGAGAGCUGUGUGUUGGGCUCUGUCAGAUGUCACCUUUGCAGGCACAAUGCUGUUGAAAAGCUGCUCUGUCACGGGCAGUAUGGUCUUGGGUAGGCUAUCAAGAUAGCUUCUUUGUGGGCCAGUUAGUGAGGUUAAUGUUGCAGGUCUGGAAGGAGGAGCACUGAGAACAUGUGGUCACUGCACGUCCAAGCAUACCCUGCGGUUUAGUAGAGCUUAGGACACCAACAGGCUCCAAAUUCACCCUGUGCAGAGAGAUGGCAGGAAUGCCCAGCCCAUGCUUACUUACACAAACCAGCCACCCCUGCAUCCACUAACUCAACAGCAUUCAAAAAGCAAACCCCAGAGAGAUGAGUAGAUAGAUACGAAGAAACCUGUAGCAGACAACAGAAGGGAUCCAUAUAAACCUGUUCCUCAAAUAAAAAGGAGGAGCUGUAAGCUACAACUAGGUACAUUCCUCAUGGGACUCAUUUUUUGCAAAUAUGCAUAGACAGCUCUGCAUGAGUGAAGAUGGAAUGCCACAGGUGGCUGGAUAUCUCGGCGAAGGGUGCCACAUGGAACUGGCUUCUUUCAAAAACUUAAAUAAGGGCAGGUUUAACUCCAGAAUAUUUGCCAGGGAACAGCAAUGGCCUGCUGUUGCCAAAUGGCGGGUAAGCCAGGAGCCAAAGGCAAUCCCAACACAAGCACCGAUGGAGCACAGUCCCACAAGACCUAAACACAGCAAGCAGGGACAGACGCUGGUAGCAGGGUCCACCAACAGCCCCAGACACAGCAUGUGACAAACCAGGUCCAGACUCCAUGCAGGAGCAAGAAGACCAGAGACAAACUGUAACAUGCACCUGAGAGACCCAUCCAGGAGAAAAACUACGUGCAGCAGAGGUCCACAGUCCAUCCCAAAGCCUGAAUCACUUUGAGCGGGGAAUGAUUCUCAGCCCAAGCUUGUGAUUGACAUUGUCUGCAGUCAGCAUCCAUGCCGGUGGCCCCCAUCAUGAUCCCAGAAGUGGAACUAAACCACCUGGAAAAUUUGAGCCAAAAGGCCUUGUGCGGACAGCCCUCCAGGGAGACAGCACUUUUUAAUUAACUGGCAGAAAAUAUCGGUAGGGAAUGAUUGCCAGUUCCAUGUGAGGGGAGCAAUCCCAGCUGCACGCUAUAAUUUCUGUUACCUGUACAGUGGAAAAAUCUCACACUAUUAGCCCCUUUUUUCCUCUCAGAGGAGCUAAAAAUAUGCUUUUUGAAAAACACAGGGUGAUACUGGUUUGGAAUGGGAAAGGGAAGAAGCAAAGAAAUCUGGGACCUAUAUGGAGGGCACACUGACAAAUUUGCAGUGUUUUCAGUGACAGCAGUUUGCAGGGAAUAUUAGGUUCUGAAAAUCAUCAUCAUCUGUCCCAUAAGUAAUUAUUAGAAUGGAUUAGUCACUACUGGCUUUGGCUGGGCUUUUCAUUUGAUUUCCAAUAAGAGGCUGCAAUCUCCAGUCCUGUCAAACCUGCUUGUGGCACACUGGCCAAAAAAACCUCUGUGAGGACAACAUGGUGCUUGUCUUCUAGGCAAGAGGGUAGUAGAAUGCCGAGUGGCAUUUUGGGGGUACAAAAAGAGAGCUGUCUGUUCUUGGACUGUUUGUUUUGUUUGGGUUUUCUGUGCAGUGAGAGGCUCCUGGGAUCUGGAUAAAAUGUGAAAACGUGAGUUCUUAGAAAAAUUCCUGAAACAUAUCCAGCUUGUUGGGUUACAGGAUCCUGAUACCAAACCCAGGUGGCUUGCAUUGGGCCGGUGAGAUGGAUCCUACAUGACCAGCCAGACCUUGCUGCUGUAGAGCAGGACUGGUGCUUGCCUGCCACAAAAACAUGGGGCUGCCAGCUUGAUCCAGUUCAAGAGCUACACCAAGGCCCUCUGAGCCAUCUCGUCAGCUGGGCAGCCUAGGGAGCCGGGCUUAGUAACCUUGUCAGUUGUACUAAUGGAAAUCUUCCCAACUCAAGACUCACCCUCCAGAGAGAGAAAAUAAAUAUUGGCUUGAAGAAACAGGGUCAGCAGCAAUCUCAGACCUUGGAGUCUGAGAGUGAUCAUAAAUCUUGGGAAACCCUGAAAGAAGUCUUGCACUCAUGAAUUUGGUGGCUCUCAUUCACACUUUCAGCAGAUGUUUAUCCAAAUGCUAUCAACUGCUGGCUGCAAAUGGAUUAAAGAGCACAGGAGUCACUGAGGUAUCUCUUACCUAGAGCUCGGUUUUAACCAUUUCAAAGUGUAAUUGCAGUUUGCACCAUGCAGUAAACUGCUCUUAGUUACUCAGUUACUUUUUCAUGCUUCCACUUUUCUGAAGGAUGAUCUGCAGAUCCUCCACAUACAAUGAAAUAUACUGGCACAUUUAAUCAGUGUGAAUUGAUUCCCUGAAGAAUUGCUGGGAAACAGGAUUUAGAAACAAGAGCUGAGCAUGCUGCAGUUGCCGAUCACAUGCUGGGAUAUUUUCUUUCAGACUGGGCUCCAACAGUAGCUUGUAUUUGCAGGCAUGGAAAUGAAAACAACACAGAUUGGGAGUAAACAGCAUUCAAUAAUCAUACUGAGAUCUAGGAUCCUUUAUUUCAGAGAGGGAAGCAAAAGGAAUUAAAAAAUAAGAGAAUGAGAUAAGGGCAGAUCACAUCAGAGGCUAUGGGGUGAGCCACAGUUCUUGUUGGCAUCCCAGCAAAGAGAAGUUUAAAGGCAGGAUUUGAAGGAGGAUAAUUUGCAGAUGUUUACAGGGAAGAUGAAACGACGGUGGCUGUAAGAAGGCUGGUUGCCACAUCCCACCAUCAAGUGACUUAUGAUGAAUAGCAUAGUCCAGGGUUAUGCCAGGGUUUGCAUUGCUUCCACAUGCACACAGAAGAGAAAUAAUGAACCAAGUUGCCUUAUCCCUUCAGCUGGUCACAGGACUGCUCCUGUCUGUUCUGAUGAGGAUGAGCCAUCACAGCUUCACACUGGUUCCUCUGCCUCCGCUCAGCCCACUGAAACUGGCUCUGCCCAAGACUGGAAGGCAGCUCUGCUGGGGACAGGGAGAACUGGGAGACCCCAGGCCAAGUGCAUGUAUUAGUUGCUGCAGGGACCUGGCAGCCAGAAUACUGCUUCCAGGGAGCCAGGGAAGCACCUGUUUUGAAGGACCCUCUUAAAACCUGCAUUCCUUGGUGUGGCACAAAUUGUGCAGCAAUCUGUAACUCUUAGGCCUGAGCCUAGUUUUUUUGAAAGGGAGGCCCAUCAACCUGCUCCAAAAUGUGCUCCCUGCCUAACUUGGCUGCCUCUCUCUUCCAGUGUCUGCCACCUACGGAUAGACUCCUCUCCCUUUUCCUCUCUUACUGAAUCCACUUCACCUUAUAAGCUGCUGUGAACCUGGGACAUUUCUCUCCCUACACCCCUUGUCUUACUGACCAGCCUGCUGCUCUGCUCUAAAGGCCAGAUGCUAUUGGUGAAUUUGCAUGGUUUAGGGGCUGGUAGGAGCUAAUGCCCAUAGGGAAGCCCAGGCUACUUCAGGUCAAUGAGAUAUUAGAUUCCUCUCUUUAUGACAUUUUGUGGCUGAUUUUGCUGGAGAAAUUGUUGCAGGAAUAUAUACAACCAGUUCUGCAGAGUCCUGCCACUAUAUUGCUCAUGAAGCAAAACCAGUAUCAUGGUUGUGGAAAAUCAGAAACAAUUGGACAAGAUAAUGCAGGUGCAAGGUGGCUGACUGGUUACUUAAAAGCCAUAAUUUUCCAUGUCUCGAUGCUGUACUGGUCCCAGAUACAUUACUCACUAUCUCUUUCAUGAAACUGCUCAUGGGAGUUGUUCUCAUUCAGAAAUCUGGUAUCGUGUUUGAGCUCUUGGGCAGCUUGUAGCUCUGUUCUCUGGUGCCUGUGGCUGGCAUCUAAGCAGUUCCAGUUUUCUCCAGCAGAGAGGUCACUGGCUGGUUCACUGACACCUUUUACCUGGGAGAAACCUGCAUUUUGAUCCCAUGUUUAUAAUGUCACCACGUGAUUCUAUUGGGAAAAGCACAGAGCACUUGAAUGGAAGAGACUAAGAUGAUGCAAGUUUGUAAAGGCCUUCCAUUUAAAUAUUAAAGAUGUUAGUGUUCAGAGUUUCUUCUUUCCGAAAAAUUGUAUUUUCCUGCUUGUGAUAUUAACCAUUAAGGCUGUUGAGUUUACUGCACUUUGAUAGGUCCCAUCCCAGUAUGGACUAGGCCCUGUCCCAUUACAAACUGGAUCUCCUCAGUCCUGUCCCAGUACAAACUGGCAGCUGUAGCCCAAAGCCCCCAAGCCUGAGGAUGGCAGGGAGUGUGCUAAUCUUUGCUUUGGUGUUAGCCAGUCCUGCUAGGACUCUCCUCCGAGAAAGCUGGACUCGGUGAUUCUUAUGGGUCCCUUCCAACUCAAGAUCUUCUGUGAUUCUGUCAUAUUGUGAUGAUUUUUUAUUGCAUAAUUAAUUAUUAUAUUACAUACAUUAUCAAUAUUUAUUAUUGCAAAAAAACUGUGGUGCUUGUUACGUGUGUGCAGUGCUUGGCUACAACAUAAUGCACAGUUAUAUUCCAGCUAUGACUGAGUUGCUUUAUCUCAGAGGCGAUCCCUCUCUGUGAUGGAGAAGCAGAGUGGCUGCGAUCUUCAGGGCUGGAGUCAGGUGAGGAUGGUGGGGAAGGAGGAGAGGAGGAGGUCAACCACAUGAUAAGAUAUGCCCUGGAGCAGAGUUCUGGACAAUGCAACCAGAAUUUGUGGAGAAGAGCAGUUCAGUUGCCAUAGCCAGGAGUGGCAGGUAUGGCAAUAAUUCAUAGGGCUUUCAUGGUUUUGAAGCCAAAAGAGACCUGAGGCUGUAGCAAGCAUGGCUGUCUGCAUUUGCUAUUCUGAACCAAGAAGGACAGUUUAGCCUGGUUUUCUAAGGAAACGAAGCUUAUACUCUCAUGCUGUUUGUCCAUCUGUUUCCCCUUUGGUUGUUCCCCAGCAAAUCUGGAACCCACUGGCCAAGGUCAGCCACAUUUGAUGCUGGGACAGAUUGUGGGUACUUCCCUCCACAGAGAGCUGGGUGGCCUGAUGCAGGGGAAGGCAGGGAUCACCCAGCUCUUUAAUUGAGAAAGGCAGCAGCUGACUGGACGUGAGCACCUGUCAGCCCACGCUUCGCUCUGGGUCCACCACAGCUUGUGCCCAGCCACGGAGGCUGGGUAAGACCUGGGCUACCAGCGGGUACUAACCGUGCCUGGUGGGGAGAGUUUCCUUCCUAACCAUUGCACUAAUCAACUUAACCCUGCAAGAUGACAUCUGAUAAGCUUGAGCUCUCUAAGAAAAUAUCUUACAGCUAUUUUGUGUUUGGGUGAUUAAAAGCAUCCUGAUCAGAGAUGAUAUAUUAUUAAAACCCUAAUUUUCUCAAGGAUCUGUAUUUUGACUUGUCAGUAUUUUGAAGAAACCCUUUGAGGGACGUCUAUUUGCAAAGCAAUUGCAAUUGCUAUCAUAAACACAUACCCCUAUCAGUUUGUCUGACCUCACACCGUCAGAUAAGCAGGCUUAGCCUUCAGAUGUCUGGAGGGAUUACUUUAUGUCUGUCUGUAGCAGUGACUGGGAUAAAGCGAUCUUUUCUGCAAAUACAGUUUAGCCUUUAGGAAGUUACUGCUUACUCGUGCGUUAACCUCAGAUAGGAGCAGGUGACCAAAGCCAGGCAGACUGCAGCUUGCCUGUGCUAGUGAGCUAUAAAUAAAGAGGAGCCUGCAGCUACGUUGCCUGUGCUGUGCUGCAGGUAAACAUUUGUCCAUCUAAGUUUAGUGAGGGCAGCGUGCACUCAAAACGGUUGACCAUGAAUCCCCACAGCAGAGUGCAAUAAAAAUGUUUUGGUGGCAUCAGCUGCCACAGGGUAUUAAGGACUCCAGGGGAAAAAAAAAAAAAUCAAGUUCAUUUUCUCAAUGACAUCUGGUUGACACAAAAAAUUAGUAUUUGAUACCAGAGACUCAGAUAAUGAAGGGUCAGAAGGCAGCUCAGGGCAUCACCAACCUCCACUUCCUAGGCUGAGGCAGGAACAAGUACUUCAGAUCAUCCUAAACAUAUUUCAAAUAACCUAAAUGGAAAAGAUUCUACAGUCUUCCUAGGCGAACCUAAUAUUUGUGAUACAUUUUCUUUUUAAGGAGUAUUCCAUUCUCACCCUCUGAUUUGCAAUUCUCCCUUAAGUGUGCCCAGCCUCUGACUUUGAUUAAAACUGCCCAGGGUCUCGGGAGCUGCUCUCCUAUUUCCAAGUGACUUUCCUAGGUUGUAAAUCUGACAGCCUCAAUGGUUUUGAAUAUCCCACUUCCCUUAUACGUUCAGGAUGGGGAUCACUCCUGAUUCCAGCUUUUCACAGACUUCUGACAUGCUGAUGAAAAGCUAAGGAGCAGAGAGGCUACAGUGUGGGACAGGUUGAGAGAAACCCGCUUGCAGGCUCCUUGCAACACCCCUGGGUUUUUGCAUAGCCACAGCAGGGUGACUGAUCUACCCUCUUCAUCCCUGAGUGUCUUUGGUCCUUUCUGUUGCUGUAAGCAGUGAUGGAAACAAGUUCAGAGAGGGUGUGCAUACACCAGCUUAUUCUUUUAAACCCUCCCCUGGCAUCUGGGGGCUUUUUGGCACUGUUUGGGACAGGAUAGUAGGCUGUAUGGUUUGACACAGCAACAGCAAUUCUUAUGUCCGGUGAGUUUGUUUGAUUUGGAAUAAGGUAAAACCUUCAUAGUUUGAGUGGGAACAUCAGAACCCAUCUAAGAGGCUACUCAAAAGAACAGCCUGCUGAGGCAUAUUUGACAGAGAGAGCGUGACUCAGUUGGGUAGGAUGCAGAGCACUGAAGAGGACAAAAGGGGUGACCACAUCACUCCGGCACCACCCCCACCCCCUGCCACUACUUUGCAAACUCCUCUGUCAGCAACACCAAACCCAAAUUUUUUACUAUUGCCUCUAAGGCCUUUUGUGGCCUCUUUUUAUGCAGUCCAGAUGUCUUCAUUUCACGAAGGACAACAGUCACAUUGACUAGAUGUUCUUCAUACUCUGUACCGUGCAGCAAAGGAGCCUCUCCAUUUAAAACACCAUGACAUCACCUUCAAGGUCAUCCUAUAAAUUCCUUCCUAAAAUUCUUCUGUCAUAAGUUCUGGGGAAAACUCUGUGAGCAUUAGACCGAUGUUGCGCGCUACACACGCUGCCAAGCAUGUCACUCAGCUCUGACCCACUACUUCGAGCAUGGCUGAUCUGUGAGGUAGCACCUCUGUUGUCUUAUCGGGCAGGGUUGCUGGCACACGGCCCACCUUUCUCUUCUAUGUAUGUACAGUGGUACCCAAUACAAAACCGGGGCUCUGAGCAGAGAUGCAGGUAAGAAGCAAGUUGGUUAGAGCAAAAUGAAAAAUGAGCAUCGGUCCUUUUCAUGUCAAAAAGCUCUUGAAGCUUUGUUAAUACAAUUUCAGUAUUAUUCUUUAUGGAACAAUCCUGCUUAACCAAGAUGACCCACCGGACUUUUCCCAUCUCUAAUUUUAAUGUGGCUUUAUAAAAUGGAUACGUUUGGCAUGUCAUCUGGAAACAUUAACCAGGGAGGUUAAAGGGGUGAGGCUCUUGGGUUUAAAGCAUUCAUUUAGUAGGUAGAGAAAUGAAUUGGCUAAGUGCUAGCACAUUUGUCAUAGGGCUAUUAUACCUGAUUUUUUUCUGGGCUGGUUAUAAGCUAUUGGUUAAUGGGGUGGAAUUAGAUUUGUACAGAACUCUGUGCAGAUAAUUUUCUUGGAAAACAUUUUGAAGAGCCUGCCUGUCCAGAAUAUGAGCUGUGAUGUUCCUCUGCUCUCUGAUUGAUUGCUCCUUAAACAGCAGGACUGUGGCUGCAAGUGGUAGCCUGUGGCUCCUCCAUUAAAGUUUCUGCACUAGCACAAGAAAGCUGCAAUAAAAAGGCAUGACACAUUAAUGUAGAAGCAGGCUCAAAGCCCUCAGAUCUGAGCAUCACAGGACAUUAAGGAAACCUAACAUUUGAUCUAGAGCAGGGCUGCUUGGCCAGAGGAACCUCAGGUCCAAAAUCAUCAUAUCUUCAAAUUAUGGGUGCAGGCUCUUUAACUUGAGCUCAUCUGUCCUCGUGAGAUGAAUCCAAAUAAAGCAUAACACUCAGGAAACUCCCUUGCUACAGGAUGUCAGAGAAAUGUAGGGUAAUCUCAAACAAUACAAAUACUAGGUAAUAUAAAACCUGGGUGGAGAAAAAACUUCCUAUCAAAUAUGCCAAAAGCUGUUCUGCACCAGUCACAGCAGAAGAAGCAGGGAGAUUCCCCAUUUUCCCUAUAUUUUCCCAUGAAUAUUUUCCUCUGAAAAGCUCCCUGCCUUGCCCAUAUUCUAACAUCUCACUCAGUCAGGCUGAGGAAGGUACAUAAGGAAAGGUCUGGGAUGUUCCAGGGUUAUGAAGCAUUUAAUCUCCAGGACACUGUUAUCUGAAAUUGGUUGAGACGCUUUGGACAGAAAUAGGUCCCAUCCUAACAGACAGUAAAGGGAACGUAUGAUAUCUUCUUUUUUGCUGAUGAGCAGGAGUCCACAAAAUCAUCACCAAGAAGUUACAGAUGAGCUCUAUUUAGUCCUAUCAGUGAGUCUGAAAGAUGGUUAAACCACAGAAAUGUUCUACAAAAUGUGAGGGGCAACUCCCUACAGGCUUGGGAGAAAUUAUUCACCCAUAGCAAGGUCAUGGGGAGGGUGGUGUUAUUCCUUCUGUACAUAUCUCCUUUGCUGUUCCCUUUUUUAUCAAACAAAAAUGGCCUUCUCUUUCCACUGUAUAUCUUUGUCCUUACGUACGUUCCUUACCAAACUCUUCAUAUCAUGCUGUUUUGCCCUUUUUCCCUCACUUGUUAUACUUCCCUCAGCAAACAGAGUCUCAUGAUGCGCCCUGUGGCUGGAAGGAGCUCCCCCAGCAUAACCCUGGAUCUCACUUGCUGUUCUAUGUUGAAAUACUUCUCAGGAAGCCCAAACGCUUAAAAAAAGUUGGCAGCCCGUAGGCUGACGUGCUGCUCUCAUGUUCGCUUGUCUGGUAGCUUCUGCUUUUAUCCCCCAGCCAGCCUGUGCUCAUUUUUCCUGCCUUGGAGGCUUUGGGAACGUGUUGGCCAUUUUGCUCUCUGUCUCAGCUAGCGUGAGAGUUAGGCACUCCGAUUGGUACCCCUGUAUUUUAUGAACAUAAUGUUAAUGCUGGGAAUAGUGAGCUGCUUUAGGGCCGUGGCUUGACAAGUUCAUUCAUGCUGAACUGGAAGUGGACCAGGGCUCAAAAUAGCCUGUGAAUGCCUGGCCAGGGGAGGCUGAGACAACAGGCACCCGGCUUCCCAGCAGGUCCUCAUCUAUGUCGCACGCAGCUACUGUUGGAGGUCAGGGCCUAUUUACUGGAACAUGAUGUGACUGCAUCGCUUCUGUUAAAAUACAAAUAAAGAACAGUGUCAUCCCAGUGACACUGAGAACGGUCCUUUUAAUGAGGUGCAUAAAUAACAGACUGUCUCACUGAAAACCCGUAACGGUGUCAGUACAAAACAGGGGAUAAUAAGAAGGACAUGCCCCCAGCUACCCUAUUAGAUAUAUUUGCUCUCUCUAGGUUUUGUCUCAAAGUCCCCACCACUUCCUGGGGGUCUGCAGAAUGCAAGUAUUCAGGUUUGAAACUGAUACAGAAUCAUGGAAAUGUUGGCUGGAAGUCCCCUCUGCAGGUCUCCUGGUGAAAAAAAUUUUCCCUAAAGCCCAGCCUGGGCCCCCCAAACAGCGAACUGUCACCACCACCUAUUGUAUUGCCCGCUACGGCUGAGAACUUUUUGUCUCUGCCGCCUCUGUAUCUCCCCAGUGGGGGUGGCAGGCCACGACUAGCCCACCUCCCAGGCACCCCUCCCCGGCCUAAGCAAGCCCAGCUCCCUCCACCUCCCCGCAGGGGCAUGUCCUGUGGGCCCCUGCACACACAGGCAGCCCCCACUGGGCCCGGCCGGUUUCCCCACAUCCCCCUUGACCUGGGAAGGGGAUCCAAGGCUGGACACAGCAGCCCAGGUGUGGCCUCACCACCACCAAGCGGUCCAGAAUAAAUAAUGUCUCUCUGUGCUGCCUGCCUUCCUCCUACCCAGCAGCUUACAGGCUUUCUGAGUGAGGAGCUGCUGUCAAAAGCCCCUCAUGGGUUCUUUCCCUCCAUGAAGCUUUCCAGUACCUUUUUGUGCCUCUGUAAAGAUUUGCAUCUACAGUCUCCUCUGGCAAGGCAUUUUACAGAUUUCUUGCCAUGUAUGAAGAGCCACAUCCUCCUGCUUGUGGAGAGGUUGCUAAUCGCUAGUUUCAUUUCUUGUUCUCCUACAAGAAAGUGCAAUAAACGCUUGUAUGGUAUUUAUCGUCACCCUGCUCUUCAUGAUUUUAUGGUUCUUUAUAGAAGUGAUAACAAAAGAGAGGACAAGAAUACGUUUCCCUGUGGUAUGUGACUCCCCACACUUCAUUUGAGUGUCAGCUUUAGGGACUCUUUCCCAUCUUCCAUUUUAUUCUCCUUUGUCUUUAUGGCACUCCACCAGUAAACAGCAACUAGGAGUAGCUGAGGCUAUAAACAACCAUUUCCCUGCUCAUUUACCUGUGUUGUUCUGGCAGUUGCUUAACGGUAAACAUAUGAUUCACUGACACAUUUUAGAUAGCAAUGUUCACAAGUUUUAAUUCCUUGCCUUUGGAAGACAGGCUAAUACAAUUUUCCUCUGCAUUCCUCCAGGCCACAGAGCCAAGAAC
Long non-coding RNA from Falco peregrinus (peregrine falcon), 14192 nucleotides. RefSeq lists it as uncharacterized. The record is from RefSeq and is a predicted model, not a curated record. Lineage: Eukaryota; Metazoa; Chordata; Aves; Falconiformes; Falconidae. The transcript is spliced from 4 exons.